Molecule: long non-coding RNA, 704 nt
Filed under: Homo sapiens (human)
Lineage: Eukaryota; Metazoa; Chordata; Mammalia; Primates; Hominidae
Description: long non-coding RNA NONHSAT192391.1
Source: RNAcentral
GGCUUCCAGAGACAGCAUCUCACCAUGAUGCCCGACUAGCCUUGAACUCCUGGCUUCAAGUGAUCCUCCCCAUUCGGCCUCCCAAAGCGCUGGGAUUAUAGGUGUGAGCCACCAUAACAGGCCCAAAAGUAACAUCUGAUCAAAAAUCUCAAGACAGGGUUUUCACCAUGUUGGCCAGGAUGGUCUCGAUCUCUUGACCUCGUGAUCCGCCUGCCUCGGCCUCCCAAAGUGCUGGGAUUACAGGCACGAGCCACCGCGCCCAGCCGACGACAACUAUUUUCUUAACGGUCUCACUCUGUUGCCCAGACAAGAGUACAGUGGAGUGAUCUCAGCUCACUGCAGCCUCGACCUCCCAGGCUCAAACGAUCCCCCCAUCUCAGCCUCCCAAGUAGCUGGGACUGCAGGGCUGCAUGCCUUCUGCCUGUACAGAACAACAUACGUACCUAGAAACAACAGCAUGAAAUGUGUUAGAAGAAUGGAAGAACGUAGACAGCUACUGACAACUCUAAAACAUGAGCACUAGCACAAUUCUUUAUCAUGACCCAUGACAAAAAGGUGGUUCUAUGCGACCAAAUGUAAACCUAAUCUUGAAAACUCUUACUGUCUCAGCAGGUACUGCCCUACGUCCUACUGUAGAAGAUGAGGAAAACAGCCAGGCAUGGUGAUGCAUGCCUGUAGUCCCAGCUACUCGGGAGGCUGAGGUA